UCCACAGUUGAACAGUAUUAAGGGGCAGUA
This 30-nucleotide non-coding RNA is filed under the name Rattus norvegicus (Norway rat). Lineage: Eukaryota; Metazoa; Chordata; Mammalia; Rodentia; Muridae. The record is from RNAcentral.